CGGCGGACGGGUGAGUAACGCGUGGGAAUCUACCGAGUAGUGGGGGACAACCAGUGGAAACACUGGCUAAUACCGCAUAUUUCCUAUUUAACUUAAAUAGGGUAAAGCAGGGGAUCUUAGGACCUUGCGCUAUUCGAUGAGCCCGCGUUGGAUUAGCUAGAUGGUAGGGUAAUGGCCUACCAUGGCGACGAUCCAUAGCUGGUCUGAGAGGAUGGUCAGCCACACUGGGACUGAGACACGGCCCAGACUCCUACGGGAGGCAGCAGUGGGGAAUAUUGCACAAUGGGCGCAAGCCUGAUGCAGCCAUGCCGCGUGUGUGAAGAAGGCUCUAGGGUUGUAAAGCACUUUCAGUGGUGAAGAAAAAAUUAACGUUAAUACCGUUAAUUCCUGACGUUAACCACAGAAGAAGCACCGGCUAACUUCGUGCCAGCAGCCGCGGUAAU
This 443-nucleotide ribosomal RNA is filed under the name uncultured bacterium. RNAcentral's name for it is "bacterial SSU rRNA". It matches the Rfam family "Bacterial small subunit ribosomal RNA", at positions 96 to 524 of the family's 1533-position model. The record is from RNAcentral.